This 190-nucleotide non-coding RNA is filed under the name Actinomycetota bacterium. The record is from RNAcentral. Lineage: Bacteria; Bacillati; Actinomycetota.
AAUAUUUGCAAAGCUCCAGGUGCCUCGGUUUGAAAAACUGAGGAUAAUAGGGAAUCAGGUGUAAGUCCUGAGCGGUGGGGCCACUGUAAAUGGUUAGCUAUUCCAAAGACCACUGGAUGGUAGCAUCCGGGAAGGUGGAAUCCAGUAACGAGCCAUGAGCCAGUAGACCUGCCUGGAGUUUCAACUUGAG